This 928-nucleotide ribosomal RNA is filed under the name unidentified. RNAcentral describes it as "bacterial SSU rRNA". It matches the Rfam family "Bacterial small subunit ribosomal RNA", at positions 51 to 964 of the family's 1533-position model. The record is from RNAcentral.
ACACAUGCAAGUCGAGCGGAGUGAAUGGUUCUUUGCNUCACUUGCACCUUAGCGGCGGACGGGUGAGUAAUGCUUAGGAAUCUGCCUAUUAGUGGGGGACAACAUCUCGAAAGGGAUGCUAAUACCGCAUACGUCCUACGGGAGAAAGCAGGGGAUCACUUGUGACCUUGCGCUAAUAGAUGAGCCUAAGUCGGAUUAGCUAGUUGGUGGGGUAAAGGCCUACCAAGGCGACGAUCUGUAGCGGGUCUGAGAGGAUGAUCCGCCACACUGGGACUGAGACACGGCCCAAACUCCUACGGGAGGCAGCAGUGGGGAAUAUUGGACAAUGGGGGGAACCCUGAUCCAGCCAUGCCGCGUGUGUGAAGAAGGCCUUAUGGUUGUAAAGCACUUUAAGCGAGGAGGAGGCUCUUUUGGUUAAUACCCAAGAUGAGUGGACGUUACUCGCAGAAUAAGCACCGGCUAACUCUGUGCCAGCAGCCGCGGUAAUACAGAGGGUGCAAGCGUUAAUCGGAUUUACUGGGCGUAAAGCGCGCGUAGGCGGCCAAUUAAGUCAAAUGUGAAAUCCCCGAGCUUAACUUGGGAAUUGCAUUCGAUACUGGUUGGCUAGAGUGUGGGAGAGGAUGGUAGAAUUCCAGGUGUAGCGGUGAAAUGCGUAGAGAUCUGGAGGAAUACCGAUGGCGAAGGCAGCCAUCUGGCCUAACACUGACGCUGAGGUGCGAAAGCAUGGGGAGCAAACAGGAUUAGAUACCCUGGUAGUCCAUGCCGUAAACGAUGUCUACUAGCCGUUGGGGCCUUUGAGGCUUUAGUGGCGCAGCUAACGCGAUAAGUAAGACCGCCUGGGGGAGUACGGUCGCAAGACUAAAACUCAAAUGAAUUGACNGGGCCCGCACAAGCGGUGGAGCAUGUGGUUUAAUUCGAUGCAACGCGA